Clupea harengus (Atlantic herring) is the source of this 1601-nucleotide long non-coding RNA. The record is from Ensembl. NCBI's taxonomy places the organism in Eukaryota, Metazoa, Chordata, Actinopteri, Clupeiformes, Clupeidae.
CCGUGUGGUAUUGAUUCAUUUCUGUGUUCGUUCUAUGUAUUAAUUAGUUUAACGUUAUCUGUGCAUCAUUACUGUGAUCGUCAGUGUCAAUGUUGAACUUCCCUCCCUUCCAUGUCUAUGUCUAUGUGUGCUUGGAAUAAAUAUCUGCUACCAACAAAACAACGCUGCCAGUGAUGUCACUUCAAGAGUAGAACCGAAAACAUAACACUGGGGUCAGAAGUGGGAAAAAGAUGACGAUGCUUUCACUGAUCAACGACCUCAUCAACCAGCUACAUCAGGAAGAACUCAUUGCAUGGCUGCAGUGGGAGGGGGUUGACGGAGCCAGGGUUGCCGCCCAAGCACCGGGUCACCAGUGCCACCGCCCCACCUGAACAUGGGGCCAACUCCAGUGGUGUGCCAAGGCCUGCCAUCAGCUGCCAUCAGGGGUCUCGGGAUCAGCUGCCGACUUCUCUGCGGCUCACCCAGGAACCAAUCCUGCAGCAUCAGGAGCAUUUUGGAGGGAAGUAAUGAAGAAGGGCUCUACCUACAGUUUUCACUUGACAUCCUUCUUUGCAACUGUACUUCUAAGAGCCAGGAGAUGACAUGCAGCAUAAAAAAUGUCAUUAGACCAGUGCAGUGCAGUGGAAUAUGACAUUAGACCAGUGCAGUGGAAUAUGUCAUUAGACCAGUGGAGGAGGAAUAUGACAUUACACCAGUGCAGUGGAAUAUGACAUUAGACCAGUGCAGUGCAGUGGAAUAUGACAUUAGACCAGUGCAGAGGAAUAUGACAUUAGACCAGUGCAGUGCAGUGGAAUAUGUCAUUAGACCAGUGCAGUGGAAUAUGACAUUACACCAGUGCAGUGCCAUCUGAACACUGGGGCAUAUACACUUGUUGUUUCAAGUAUGUGGGUUUUUUUAAGAGAGGAAGAGAAAGAAAGACAGAAAGUUUUACUGGUAAUUACUUUUAGAUAUAGUAUGCACCAAUGUCUGCUUAAAUACUGACCAACUGAUUAUUAUUCAACCAAUAUUUACUUUCACAUGUAUCUGUGUAGCCAACACGAAAUGAAUACAUGUGAAUGCUCCCUGAAUAUAUUAUAUAUAUAAAUAUAUAUAUAAUAUUGAACCUAUGACGUUGGUGGUAUAAACAAUUUUAUGCACGGACAGGUAAAAAAAGAUAAAAGAUGAAAGCAUAAACAAUCAACUAAACAGUCUUAAAGCUGCCACUGAUCACUACCUCCUUAAAUACCAAUUAGAGUAUCAGUGGCCAGUAAUGUAUUCAAUGGAGCGGCCAGAGGCUGCCAGUGUGAGUGCACUGAUUUGGAAUGUGUGUCAUGUGCAACAGCGAGAGCUGGAGUGGCCACUCCCCCUGCCUAAUGGACUAAGAUAAAAUGGGUGGGAAUGGACUUAAAUUAGUGGGGUAAUUGCAGUAUAACCCCAUUCCUCUGCCCAGUCCCUCCCACACACACACACACACACACAUACACUUGAUAAAAAGAGCAACUCCAGGGAUGGUUGCCAGCUGUUUCUUUGGACAAUCCAACAUUUGCAAAUCACUGAGCACGCACGGAGCAAUAGAGCAAGUCAGAGAGACUGUGAAAAAUACAGAAGAAAAGAAAAAGAGG